RNAcentral lists this ribosomal RNA (443 nucleotides) under uncultured Entrophospora. RNAcentral describes it as "SSU rRNA". It matches the Rfam family "Eukaryotic small subunit ribosomal RNA", at positions 569 to 1009 of the family's 1831-position model. The record is from RNAcentral. Lineage: Eukaryota; Fungi; Glomeromycota; Glomeromycetes; Entrophosporales; Entrophosporaceae.
AGCAGCCGCGGUAAUUCCAGCCCCAAUAGCGUAUAUUAAAGUUGUUGCAGUUAAAAAGCUCGUAGUUGAAUUUCGGGAUUGACGUGAUGGUCAUGCCUUAAGGGGUAUGAACUGUUACAGUUGAUUUCUCACCUUCUGGAGAAACUUGAUGUCCUUUAUUGGGUGUCUUGUGGAUCCAGGACCCUUACCUUGAAAAGAUUAGAGUGUUUAAAGCAGGCAUUUUUGCUCGAAUACAUUAGCAUGGAAUAAUAGAAUAGGACGGCAUGGUUCUAUUUUGUUGGUUUCUAGGAUCACCGUAAUGAUUAAUAGGGAUAGUUGGGGGCAUUAGUAUUCAAUUGUCAGAGGUGAAAUUCUUGGAUUUAUUGAAGACUAACUACCGCGAAAGCAUUUGCCAAGGAUGUUUUCAUUAAUCAAGAACGAAAGUUAGGGGAUCGAAGACGAUC